RNAcentral lists this ribosomal RNA (312 nucleotides) under uncultured Pezizomycotina. RNAcentral describes it as "partial large subunit ribosomal RNA". It matches the Rfam family "Eukaryotic large subunit ribosomal RNA", at positions 40 to 350 of the family's 3401-position model. Lineage: Eukaryota; Fungi; Ascomycota. The record is from RNAcentral.
AUAUCAAUAAGCGGAGGAAAAGAAACCAACAGGGAUUACCCUAGUAACGGCGAGUGAAGCGGUAACAGCUCAAAUUUGAAAUCUGACCUUCACGGGUCCGAGUUGUAAUUUGUAGAGGAUGUUUCGGAUAAGGCUUUGGUUUAAGUUUCUUGGAACAGAACGUCAUAGAGGGUGAGAGUCCCGUCUAGAACCGGUAGCCGCGUCCAUGUGAAACUCCUUCGACGAGUCGAGUUGUUUGGGAAUGCAGCUCAAAAUGGGUGGUAAAUUUCAUCUAAAGCUAAAUAUUGGCCAGAGACCGAUAGCGCACAAGUA